RNAcentral lists this ribosomal RNA (440 nucleotides) under uncultured bacterium. RNAcentral describes it as "partial 16S ribosomal RNA". It matches the Rfam family "Bacterial small subunit ribosomal RNA", at positions 338 to 795 of the family's 1533-position model. The record is from RNAcentral.
CCUACGGGAGGCAGCAGUGGGGAAUAUUGCACAAUGGGGGAAACCCUGAUGCAGCGACGCCGCGUGAAGGAAGAAGUAUUUCGGUAUGUAAACUUCUAUCAGCAGGGAAGAAAAUGACGGUACGUGACUAAGAAGCUCCGGCUAACUACGUGACAGCAGCGGCGGUAAUACGUAGGGGGCAAGCGUUAUCCGGAUUUACUGGGUGUAAAGGGAGCGUAGGCGGUUUAGCAAGUCAGAAGUGAAAGUCCGGGGCUCAACUCCAGGACUGCAUUUGAAACUGUUAGACUUGAUUGCAGGAGAGGUAAGUGGAAUUCCUGGUGUAGCGGUGAAAUGCGUAGAUAUUAGGAGGAACUCCAGUGGCGAAGGCAGCUUACUGGACUGUAAAUGACGCUGAGGCUCGAAAGCGUGGGGAGCAAACAGGAUUAGAUACCCGAGUAGUC